RNAcentral lists this ribosomal RNA (892 nucleotides) under Fusarium oxysporum f. sp. lycopersici. RNAcentral's name for it is "LSU rRNA". It matches the Rfam family "Eukaryotic large subunit ribosomal RNA", at positions 38 to 959 of the family's 3401-position model. The record is from RNAcentral. Lineage: Eukaryota; Fungi; Ascomycota; Sordariomycetes; Hypocreales; Nectriaceae.
GCAUAUCAAUAAGCGGAGGAAAAGAAACCAACAGGGAUUGCCCUAGUAACGGCGAAGUGAAGCGGCAACAGCUCAAAUUUGAAAUCUGGCUCUCGGGCCCGAGUUGUAAUUUGUAGAGGAUACUUUUGAUGCGGUGCCUUCCGAGUUCCCUGGAACGGGACGCCAUAGAGGGUGAGAGCCCCGUCUGGUUGGAUGCCAAAUCUCUGUAAAGUUCCUUCAACGAGUCGAGUAGUUUGGGAAUGCUGCUCUAAAUGGGAGGUAUAUGUCUUCUAAAGCUAAAUACCGGCCAGAGACCGAUAGCGCACAAGUAGAGUGAUCGAAAGAUGAAAAGCACUUUGAAAAGAGAGUUAAAAAGUACGUGAAAUUGUUGAAAGGGAAGCGUUUAUGACCAGACUUGGGCUUGGUUAAUCAUCUGGGGUUCUCCCCAGUGCACUUUUCCAGUCCAGGCCAGCAUCAGUUUUCCCCGGGGGAUAAAGGCGGCGGGAAUGUGGCUCUCUUCGGGGAGUGUUAUAGCCCACCGUGUAAUACCCUGGGGGGGACUGAGGUUCGCGCAUCUGCAAGGAUGCUGGCGUAAUGGUCAUCAACGACCCGUCUUGAAACACGGACCAAGGAGUCGUCUUCGUAUGCGAGUGUUCGGGUGUCAAACCCCUACGCGUAAUGAAAGUGAACGCAGGUGAGAGCUUCGGCGCAUCAUCGACCGAUCCUGAUGUUCUCGGAUGGAUUUGAGUAAGAGCAUACGGGGCCGGACCCGAAAGAAGGUGAACUAUGCCUGUAUAGGGUGAAGCCAGAGGAAACUCUGGUGGAGGCUCGCAGCGGUUCUGACGUGCAAAUCGAUCGUCAAAUAUGGGCAUGGGGGCGAAAGACUAAUCGAACCUUCUAGUAGCUGGUUUCC